Molecule: ribosomal RNA, 403 nt
Filed under: uncultured bacterium
Lineage: Bacteria
Description: partial 16S ribosomal RNA
Rfam family: Bacterial small subunit ribosomal RNA
Source: RNAcentral
AUUGAACGCUGGCGGCAGGCCUAACACAUGCAAGUCGAGCGAGCGGCGGACGGGUGAGUAAUGUAUGGGGACUGCCCGAUAGAGGGGGAUAACUACUGGAAACGGUGGCUAAUACCGCAUACUAUCGGAUAACCCAUAUGGGAUUAGCUAGUGGGUGGGGUAAAGGCUCACCAAGGCGACGAUGUCUAGCUGGUCUGAGAGGAUAAUCAGCCACACUGGAAGUGAGACACGGCCCAGACUCCUACGGAAGCAGCAGUAGUGAAUAUAGCACAAUGGGCGCAAGCCUGAUGCAGCUAGGCCGCGAGUAUGAAGAAGGCCUUAGGGUUGUAAAGCACUUUCGGCGGGGAGGCGUUACCCGCAGAAGAAGCACCGGCUAACUCCGUGCCAGCAGCCGCGGUAAUUC